AGAACGAACGCUGGCGGCAGGCCUAACACAUGCAAGUCGAACGCCCCGCAAGGGGAGUGGCAGACGGGUGAGUAACGCGUGGGAACGUACCCUUCGGUUCGGAAUAACCCGGGGAAACUCGGGCUAAUACCGGAUACGUCCGCAAGGAGAAAGAUUUAUCGCCGAAGGAUCGGCCCGCGUCGGAUUAGCUAGUUGGUGGGGUAACGCCCACCAAGGCGACGAUCCGUAGCUGGUCUGAGAGGAUGAUCAGCCACACUGGGACUGAGACACGGCCCAGACUCCUACGGGAGGCAGCAGUGGGGAAUAUUGGACAAUGGGCGAAAGCCUGAUCCAGCCAUGCCGCGUGAGUGAAGAAGGCCCUAGGGUUGUAAAGCUCUUUCAGCGGGGAAGAUAAUGACGGUACCCGCAGAAGAAGCCCCGGCUAACUUCGUGCCAGCAGCCGC
This 443-nucleotide ribosomal RNA is filed under the name uncultured soil bacterium. Its description in RNAcentral is "bacterial SSU rRNA". It matches the Rfam family "Bacterial small subunit ribosomal RNA", at positions 26 to 518 of the family's 1533-position model. The record is from RNAcentral.